This is a long non-coding RNA of Takifugu rubripes (torafugu), 2394 nucleotides long. The record is from Ensembl. NCBI's taxonomy places the organism in Eukaryota, Metazoa, Chordata, Actinopteri, Tetraodontiformes, Tetraodontidae.
ACGCUAGGCAGCUCCGCAGCAGCUAGCUUACCCUGGCUACAUGACGCAACUCCAGCUAACUCCAAACUGCGGAACCGCGUCUCAAGCUCGCUAAGUCUCGCCUCCAUAGCCAUAAAUAAACUACACUUUCUGCACCUAUUCCCUUCACUAAGGGAGGCAGAGGAGUAACUAAACAUUUCGCACUCUGAACAGACAAAGACACCGGGUGAAACAGACGGUGAGGCCAUGCUAACGCUAGUGAUCGGCGAAGCCCUGUAUUUGUUUAAUAUGGGUUGUUUCUCACUGUUGAUAUCGGGUGACUAGAAUGUCUCAAGUGUUCAAAAUUUUAAGUAAAGUGAAUACAACACACCAAGUGUUCAAUAUUAAGUGAAUACAACACACCAAUUGUUCAAUAUUAAGUGAAUACGGCACCCCGUGCACAAUGCAACCAACGAACGAUAGAGGAGGCAGGAAGUGACGCAAUACUCACGCAACCAAUCAGAUGAUUCCAUCCUCCUACAUGGUCAAACCAGUGUUGGAGCAUGUUUCUGGCUGUGGCCCUCGUCCAAUGGACGUGGUCAUUGAGUGUUGAGAAGAGAUGGGAAGGUAAGAGAGGGAUGAAGAGACAGUUUUUUCCUAAUUUGUGAAUUUAAAAAUUUAAGGUUCUUUUGUUCUUUCGCAGGGAGGAGACUGGAAAAGUUAACCAGCGGCACCCAAAUCCCCACGCUGGGAAAGCGCUCAUCUGCCGUUUCGACCGCCGCUCUCAUUUGGGCAGACAAGGUUUGCCCCUGGGUAACUCUCCACCUGCAGUUGGUCAUUUGUGAAUGGGGGGAAUCUGCUCAAAUUGGAGUCCCCCAGAAUGAGCCACUUUUUAGUAACGCUCAGACCCCAAUCCUGCAUUUUGUUAUUUGUGUGGAUGUGUCUGGUGGCUCUGCGUGUCUCCGGUUCAGUACCCUCCACUGGUGAGGACAAAGGGACCAAUUUCUGCUCGCUUAGGUCAAUGAGCAGGUCCGCCUCUAUCGGAGCAUCCAAGAUGGAGUCCGUCUCCACCACGCAGCAGGGGUUUGGCUUAGGGGAGGAGGUUACCGUAGUAGGUGACCAUCCUCCUGAUUCCUCCGUUUCCGUGCCAACUGACACCUUUUGAAUGGAUCUGGGUGGAGCAGUGUCAUUGGCCGUCUGUAAAGCAGGUGGAUCUGCAGCAGGAGGAAGAGGGGAGGAGAGAGGGGGUGACGGCGGCGCAGGACCGAUUAUCCCCUCACCUCCCAUUCUGGCAAUGAUGUGUGCCUGUGCCUGCUCCAGAGUCUCCCCAUGGAGCCGUUUGCCCAGGUCCCGUUUUGCCCAAAUGGAGGCAAUCUGGAAAGGUCCCUCCCAUCCCUGGAGUGACAACUGGGUGAGCGCCCCCAGCUCCAACUCCAGUUCAUAUAUGUAAUGAUCCCGGAGGAUCAUCAUGGUGGUUGCCUCCCAGUUCCUGGCAUUCCCCUCUAAUAAAAGACUUGUUCUCUGAUUGGGAUUUGCAGGUUUUAUUGUGUUUGCCAGGUUUAUAGACAGUUUUCUGAUGGUGGGAGUGGACUAUUCAGCCAAAGCGAUUUUAAGAUGGUGGGUAAUUUUAAUUAUUUUUAACAUGGUUCGAAUUUUAAGACCAAAAUCUGGGUCAUCAGAUUUAGGCUUAUUUUUGUUCAUGGUUGUCCGAUUAUUUGUGUUUUGUCGCAUUGCAGCGUUCCCCCUGUUAUAUGAACGCGCGUUGCGAUUUUUAUAAUUGUGCGGGGCCGAGUAACGUCCCCGCGGUUCAAAAAAUUGCGGCUGAAAGCCUCGCUUUUGCAAGCGUUGUUGCGGGGCAUAGUCGUCCCGUCUGCUACUCAUCCUCGUAACCGAGGCGUAGCUGCGACGUUCCCGACUACGGUACGGCCCCCCGUCACGUCCGUUGCGGUGUUCCGCCUCCGGAGCACGGUUCCUGCCCUCAUGGCGGAGCCAGUCAUGACGGCUGGGAUUCGGAGGCUCGGGGCGGCGGUGAUGUUGAUUCCGCUUGCGCCCUCGAGACACCAGAAUCCACCCGUCAUCGUUCCUGUACUCCGCCAUGUAGAAGUUGGUAAGUAUUCUCCGGAUUUUUUUAAAUCGAAAACUAGCUAUUUUGUUGCAACGUUUCGGUCCGAAAAGAACCUUCUUCAGGCUUAGCUCGUUUUGCUGUUGCUAUUGCUAUCUGUGCUGUAUCUCCGUUUGAUUUCCUGAUGUGUCUGAUUCAGAUUUUCAAGGUAGGUACUGAGCUCCCGCCUGAAUGGGGCUUUUGUAAACUCCGGUCAGGGGGCGGAGUGUGGAGGGAGUUUUUCGAAGAUUUUCUUGCUCCAAUUUUCCAAGUAAUAGGAAAUCUCCAAUAGUCCAAAUUAUGUGUUUUCCUUUUGUUUUUUGGUUUAAAUUCUU